UUCAGCCCAAAACCGUUCUUAUCUCCUCCAGCAAGAUUUUUUCCUUUUCUCCUCCAUGCUCCAUGCCAUUCUUGAAGCUUCCAUGCCAUUUUCUCUUUAUCCACCAUGAAAUCAAGUUUCUUCACUUUCCUUUCCAUGUUUUCUUUUCCUUUCUUCUCCAAACUUCUUGAGCACUAAAUUUACAGCCUUUAACCCCAAUUUCUAGCACAUCUAAACCCUAGGAGGAGAAGAAAGAAAAAGAGAGAAAGGAGGAAAAAGCUUGGUUUUGGUGAUUCAAGCAAGGAACGGUAAGAAUUCUUGUUUUUGGCUUGAGUAGUCUUUGAAAAUGAGUUAGUGACUUAGAGAAAUGUCUUGUGGCAGUAAAGAUUGGCUUGAUUGGAGAAAAAUUGGUAACAUGUAAGCCAAGAAACCCAUGGGUACAUGAAGGACUCAAAGUGGAAAAGGAAAAUGGUAAGCUUAACACUAUGUUUUAAAGCCUACGGUUAGUUGAAU
Molecule: long non-coding RNA, 492 nt
Filed under: Theobroma cacao (cacao)
Lineage: Eukaryota; Viridiplantae; Streptophyta; Magnoliopsida; Malvales; Malvaceae
Description: long non-coding RNA (TCAC_LNC002917)
Source: RNAcentral